CCUACGGGGGGCAGCAGUGGGGAAUAUUGCGCAAUGGGCGAAAGCCUGACGCAGCGACGCCGCGUGAGGGAUGAAGGUCUUCGGAUCGUAAACCUCUGUCAGCAGGGAAGAACGGUCACUGUGCUAAUCAGCAGUGAAUUGACGGUACCUGCAAAGGAAGCACCGGCUAACUCCGUGCCAGCAGCCGCGGUAAUACGGAGGGUGCGAGCGUUAAUCGGAAUUACUGGGCGUAAAGCGGUCGUAGGCGGUAUGUCAAGUCAAGGGGGAAAUCCCCGCGGUCAACGUUGGAACUGCCUUUGAAACUGGCAAACUGGAGUGUGUGAGAGGAUAGUGGAAUUCCAGGUGUAGGAGUGAAAUCCGUAGAUAUCUGGAGGAACAUCAGUGGCGAAGGCGACUAUCUGGCACAUAACUGACGCUGAGGAGCGAAAGCGUGGGUAGCGAACAGGAUUAGAUACCCCAGUAGUC
RNAcentral lists this ribosomal RNA (465 nucleotides) under uncultured bacterium. RNAcentral describes it as "partial 16S ribosomal RNA". It matches the Rfam family "Bacterial small subunit ribosomal RNA", at positions 338 to 795 of the family's 1533-position model. The record is from RNAcentral.